RNAcentral lists this long non-coding RNA (230 nucleotides) under Ananas comosus (pineapple). RNAcentral's name for it is "long non-coding RNA (ACOM_LNC008567)". Lineage: Eukaryota; Viridiplantae; Streptophyta; Magnoliopsida; Poales; Bromeliaceae. The record is from RNAcentral.
GUACUAACACAGUAAGUACGCAAAAUCUUUUGCAGUCGGCCAAUUCUUUUUUCUUUUUCUUUUUUUUGAGAGAUAAGUAGCACGCUACCCGUUUCGUUUAUUUCAUUUAGAAAUAAACUUAGCUAGAAAUGUGAAUCAACUAGAAUUCGAACUUGGGUUUCGGAUACCAACCACCAAACCCUUUGCCACUUGCUCCAGAGACGGUCGGUGAGUCGACCAAUUCUCGAUCA